CCCUUAGAUGUUCUGGGCUGCACACGUGCUACACUGGCAGGUUCAGCGAGCUUCAUGCCCUGAUCUGAAAGGAAUGGGAAAUCUUUUCAAAACCCGCCGUGCUUGGUAUAGAUGUUUGCAAUUAUUCAUCUUCAACGAGGAUUGCCUUGUAAGCGCACGUCAUCAGCGUGCAUUGAAUACGACCCUGUAUUCUGUACACACCGCCCGUCGCUCCUACCGAUUGAAGUUUUCGGUGAGUAGACAGGAGGAUUUUUUUGAAACUGGUUCGCCAGUGGAUUUUAGAUCCAAAUGCCAACGAAUCGAUGGCUUUAGAGGAAGGAGAAGUCGUAACA
This 332-nucleotide ribosomal RNA is filed under the name uncultured eukaryote. RNAcentral's name for it is "partial 18S ribosomal RNA". It matches the Rfam family "Eukaryotic small subunit ribosomal RNA", at positions 1470 to 1796 of the family's 1831-position model. The record is from RNAcentral.